This 427-nucleotide ribosomal RNA is filed under the name uncultured bacterium. RNAcentral describes it as "bacterial SSU rRNA". It matches the Rfam family "Bacterial small subunit ribosomal RNA", at positions 356 to 774 of the family's 1533-position model. The record is from RNAcentral.
GGGGAAUAUUGCGCAAUGGGGGAAACCCUGACGCAGCGACGCCGUGUGAGGGAAGAAGGCUUUCGGGUCGUAAACCUCUGUCGGGAAGGAAGAACCCCCCAGGUCCGAAUAGGGCCUGGGGCUGACGGUACUUCCAAAGGAAGCACCGGCUAACGCCGGGCCAGCAGCCGCGGUAAUACGGAGGGUGCAAGAGUUAAUCGGAAUCACUGGGCGUAAAGCGCGCGUAGGCGGCUUUUUAAGUCGGACGUGAAAGCCCACGGCUUAACCGUGGAGGGUCAUUGGAAACUGGGAGACUUGAGUGCAGAAGAGGAAAGUGGAAUUCCAAGUGUAGCGGUGAAAUGCGUAGAGAUUUGGAGGAACACCAGUGGCGAAGGCGACUUUCUGGUCUGCAACUGACGCUGAGGCGCGAAAGCAUGGGGAGCAAACA